This 250-nucleotide unclassified non-coding RNA is filed under the name Hevea brasiliensis (rubber tree). The record is from RNAcentral. Lineage: Eukaryota; Viridiplantae; Streptophyta; Magnoliopsida; Malpighiales; Euphorbiaceae.
GCCUGAAGUGCUCGGAUAAAAGGUAAGAGUGAACAUGAAGGAAGAAACAUUUCAAAAGCCCUGAGCAGAGGAAGGAAUAAAUGUUGUUCACAGAGCACAGCAACCAUUCUAGACAAAGAACCAGCCACUUCAUCAGAGCCAUUUGAAACUUUCUCAUCCUGAUCAACUUGCUUUUCACAUUCCUCUCCAGCAUUCAUGUCUUGAAUUCUCACAUUACCAUCUGCCUUUCGUACAUCAGGGAUUGUGAAAA